Molecule: ribosomal RNA, 722 nt
Filed under: Bacillus amyloliquefaciens
Lineage: Bacteria; Bacillati; Bacillota; Bacilli; Caryophanales; Bacillaceae
Description: bacterial SSU rRNA
Rfam family: Bacterial small subunit ribosomal RNA
Source: RNAcentral
CGUGUAGCGGUGAAAUGCGUAGAGAUGUGGAGGAACACCAGUGGCGAAGGCGACUCUCUGGUCUGUAACUGACGCUGAGGAGCGAAAAGCGUGGGGAGCGAACAGGAUUUAGAUACCCUGGUAGUCCACGCCGUAAACGAUGAGUGCUAAGUGUUAGGGGGUUUCCGCCCCUUAGUGCUGCAGCUAACGCAUUAAGCACUCCGCCUGGGGAGUACGGUCGCAAGACUGAAACUCAAAGGAAUUGACGGGGGCCCGCACAAGCGGUGGAGCAUGUGGUUUAAUUUGAAGCAACGCGAAGAACCUUACCAGGUCUUGACAUCCUCUGACAAUCCUAGAGAUAGGACGUCCCCUUCGGGGGCAGAGUGACAGGUGGUGCAUGGUUGUCGUCAGCUCGUGUCGUGAGAUGUUGGGUUAAGUCCCGCAACGAGCGCAACCCUUGAUCUUAGUUGCCAGCAUUCAGUUGGGCACUCUAAGGUGACUGCCGGUGACAAACCGGAGGAAGGUGGGGAUGACGUCAAAUCAUCAUGCCCCUUAUGACCUGGGCUACACACGUGCUACAAUGGACAGAACAAAGGGCAGCGAAACCGCGAGGUUAAGCCAAUCCCACAAAUCUGUUCUCAGUUCGGAUCGCAGUCUGCAACUCGACUGCGUGAAGCUGGAAUCGCUAGUAAUCGCGGAUCAGCAUGCCGCGGUGAAUACGUUCCCGGGCCUUGUACACACCG